GAGCUUGAUCCCAUGGCUCAGAUUGAACGCUGGCGGCAGGCCUAACACAUGCAAGUCGAGCGGUAGAGAGAAGCUUGCUUCUCUUGAGAGCGGCGGACGGGUGAGUAAUGCCUAGGAAUCUGCCUGGUAGUGGGGGAUAACGCUCGGAAACGGACGCUAAUACCGCAUACGUCCUACGGGAGAAAGCAGGGGACCUUCGGGCCUUGCGCUAUCAGAUGAGCCUAGGUCGGAUUAGCUAGUUGGUGAGGUAAUGGCUCACCAAGGCGACGAUCCGUAACUGGUCUGAGAGGAUGAUCAGUCACACUGGAACUGAGACACGGUCCAGACUCCUACGGGAGGCAGCAGUGGGGAAUAUUGGACAAUGGGCGAAAGCCUGAUCCAGCCAUGCCGCGUGUGUGAAGAAGGUCUUCGGAUUGUAAAGCACUUUAAGUUGGGAGGAAGGGCAGUAACCUAAUACGUUGCUGUCUUGACGUUACCGACAGAAUAAGCACCGGCUAACU
Molecule: ribosomal RNA, 500 nt
Filed under: Pseudomonas sp. CL1.81
Lineage: Bacteria; Pseudomonadati; Pseudomonadota; Gammaproteobacteria; Pseudomonadales; Pseudomonadaceae
Description: bacterial SSU rRNA
Rfam family: Bacterial small subunit ribosomal RNA
Source: RNAcentral